RNAcentral lists this unclassified non-coding RNA (145 nucleotides) under uncultured Ascomycota. Its description in RNAcentral is "sequence contains ITS2". The record is from RNAcentral. Lineage: Eukaryota; Fungi; Ascomycota.
CAACCCUCAAGCUCAGCUUUGGUGUUGGCGCGGGUCCGAGGGGACCCCCGCCGAAACUCGUAGGCGCCGUCGCCCGGCCCCCAGCGCAGCAGGCACACGCACGCGCGAGGGGGGUGGCGCGACGGCCGCCCGCCGUCUCACAGCG